This 253-nucleotide ribosomal RNA is filed under the name uncultured bacterium. RNAcentral's name for it is "partial 16S ribosomal RNA". It matches the Rfam family "Bacterial small subunit ribosomal RNA", at positions 524 to 776 of the family's 1533-position model. The record is from RNAcentral.
UACGGGGGGGGCAAGCGUUGUUCGGAAUUACUGGGCGUAAAGGGCUCGUAGGCGGCCAACUAAGUCAGACGUGAAAUCCCUCGGCUUAACCGGGGAACUGCGUCUGAUACUGGAUGGCUUGAGUGUGGGAGAGGAAUGCGGAAUUCCAGGUGUAGCGGUGAAAUGCGUAGAUAUCUGGAGGAACACCGGUGGCGAAGGCGGCAUCCUGGACCAAUAUUGACGCUGAGGAGCGAAAGCCAGGGGAGCAAACGGG